CCUCAACCGCAAGGAGGGGGAUGCCUAAGGCAGGGCUAGUGACUGGGGUGAAGUCGUAACAAGGUAGCCGUACCGGAAGGUGUGGCUGGAUCACCUCCUUAAAGGGAGACCUAAUUCGGGUAUGGGACGAAAAAAAAGUAGUCCCUACCAAGAAUCAAUCCCAAAAGGUCGGAGCGAGGCAAAAUUGGCUUUCAAACUAGGUUCUGGGUUCACACAAGACCUGAAUCAGGAACAAGGGCUAUUAGCUCAGGUGGUUAGAGCGCACCCCUGAUAAGGGUGAGGUCCCUGGUUCGAGUCCAGGAUGGCCCACCUGCACAGGUGGAAAAAACAAAAAAAA
Molecule: unclassified non-coding RNA, 337 nt
Filed under: Microcystis aeruginosa LEGE 91347
Lineage: Bacteria; Bacillati; Cyanobacteriota; Cyanophyceae; Chroococcales; Microcystaceae
Description: partial contains 16S ribosomal RNA, 16S-23S ribosomal RNA intergenic spacer, and 23S ribosomal RNA
Rfam family: Bacterial small subunit ribosomal RNA (bases 1-101)
Source: RNAcentral